GACGAACGCUGGCGGCGUGCUUAACACAUGCAAGUCGAACGGAAAGGCCCUGCUUUUGUGGGGUGCUCGAGUGGCGAACGGGUGAGUAACACGUGAGUAACCUGCCCUUGACUUUGGGAUAACUUCAGGAAACUGGGGCUAAUACCGGAUAGGAGCUCCUGCUGCAUGGUGGGGGUUGGUAAGUUUCGGCGGUUGGGGAUGGACUCGCGGCUUAUCAGCUUGUUGGUGGGGUAGUGGCUUACCAAGGCUUUGACGGGUAGCCGGCCUGAGAGGGUGACCGGCCACAUUGGGACUGAGCUACGGCCCAGAAUACUACGGGAGGCAGCAGUGGGGAAUAUUGCACAAUGGGCGGAAGCCUGAUGCAGCAACGCCGCGUGCGGGAUGACGGACUUCGGGUUGUAAACCGCUUUCGCCUGUGACGAAGCGUGAGUGACGGUAAUGGGUAAAGAAGCACCGGCUAACUACGUG
Molecule: ribosomal RNA, 468 nt
Filed under: uncultured bacterium
Lineage: Bacteria
Description: partial 16S ribosomal RNA
Rfam family: Bacterial small subunit ribosomal RNA
Source: RNAcentral